UCACCACUGGUACUUGGCCUUGAGGAGGACGUCCUCGUAGAGCUUGGCGGCAUGCUCCCAGCUGAAGUCCUGCGACAUGCCGCGCUCCUGGAGGCCCCUCCAGCUCUCCUUGUAGUCCCGGUAGGUGCGGAGGCAGUGCCCGAGCGCCUCGAUCAGCUUGUGCGCCUCGGCGCGGUCGAACGUCCACCCGAGGCCGGAGUGGUUGAAGGGGUCGAACGGCGGCACGGUGUCCCUCAGCCCGCCGACGGCGUGCACGACGGGGACGGUGCCGUAGGCCAUGGCGUAGAGCUGGUUCAGCCCGCACGGCUCGAACCGGGAGGGCAUGAGGAGCGCGUCGGCGCCCGCCGUGAUCCGGUGCGCCAGGCGCACGGAGAACCCCACCCACCCGCGCACCUUGUCGUGGUGCUCCCGCUCGAAGUGCCGCAGCAUGCUCUCCAGGUCGUGGCGGCCGGUGCCCAGCAUGACCAGCUGCACGUCCUGGCUCACGAUCCAGGGCAUGGCGUCCGCGAUGAUCUCCACGCCCUUCUGCCCGUCCAGGCGGCCGAUGAAGCCGAGCAGCGGCACGUCGGCGCGGACCUGCAGGCCCAGCUCGCGCUGCAGGGCCUCCUUGCACUGCCGCUUGCCGGAGUCCAGCGUGCUCAGGGAGAAGUUGGUGUAGCCGUCCGACUGGAGGUGGACGUCCACCUCGGGGUUCCACUCCAUGUUGUCGAUGCCGUUGACGAUGCCGCGGGUCUUCCAGUCGUUCUGCCGUAUGAUGUCGUGAAGCCCCCAGCCGCCCUCCACCGUCUUGAGCUCCCACAGGUACCCGGGGCUCACCACGACAACCUGGUCCGCCAUCUUCAGGCCGGCGGCGAAGUAGUUGGCGUGCUCACCACCCACGGGGUCGUACAGUCUGAAGUGUUCCAGGUAGUGCUCAGGCAACUCGGUGAACGGGAAUUCAUCUACUGGGCCACGGCCCUGCAUAUACAACAUCAA
This 975-nucleotide ribosomal RNA is filed under the name Triticum aestivum (bread wheat). RNAcentral's name for it is "partial small subunit ribosomal RNA". Lineage: Eukaryota; Viridiplantae; Streptophyta; Magnoliopsida; Poales; Poaceae. The record is from RNAcentral.